This 66-nucleotide transfer RNA is filed under the name Trichogramma cacaeciae. Its description in RNAcentral is "tRNA-Asn". The record is from RNAcentral. Lineage: Eukaryota; Metazoa; Arthropoda; Insecta; Hymenoptera; Trichogrammatidae.
UUAAUUGAAACCAAAAAGAGGUGAGUUAUUGUUAAUAAUUUUAUUGAAUUUUAAAUUCCAAUUAAU